ACUGUUCCCCAACACGUACCUAACCUAACCCCCGUGCGGCCGUACCCCCGGGAAAGUGGGGUUAAUGCCCGAUAUGCGAGGGAUCCUGGAAUGGUUCCACGCCCAAACGUUAGCUCGCCCAUGUUACAGAGCACGACUACGAGGAUGGGGCUGCGGGAUUGCUCCCCUAUGUUGAGGCCUCACCUCACCAAUCCGUUGUACGGUAAGGCUUUCGCCAGCGUGGCCCUUCGAUGAACAUUGAAUUUUAGCGCUCCCCCCUACAUACCUGUGACUCCUCCCGGCCUCCACAAUGGACGAGAGUGCGAUGGGGCUACUUCUAGUGCCGCCUGAAAAAGGAGAAUUUUCCAUGGAGCAAUGCGCCGUGCUAAUAAGGGGGGGGCAAGACUGGCCACUUGCGCCUCCUGAACACACCGCCCCCGAUGGGAGGGGAAUUGUACUUGACUUAUUCCCUUCGAUAUCGGCUCUAAAAAUCUCUCGUUAAAUCCGGCGUCCCUUGGUCGUCCUGUAUCAUACACUGCCGCAUUAGAGGGGGGGAGAGGCUGCUGCACUUCCCGGAGCUAGGGCCAAAAUCUUUGAGCCCUUCUCGACCAUACCUGUCUCAAGGUGCCUACUAAAACUCGCCUGGCGGUGAUGGAACAUCGCUGACGUACUAAAUCGGAUUAGAUUCCUCAUUAGUCCCUACCGUAGACGAUGUACGCUAUGCGUUGGGACUUCCCUGUGCCGAUUCAUCGUCACAUGCAAAACGUUAUUCCUGACGUCUGGGGAGAACAUCCGCAAGGCUGAGACUUAUAGGAACUGGAGGAUCAGCAC
This 810-nucleotide ribosomal RNA is filed under the name uncultured Acidilobales archaeon. RNAcentral's name for it is "bacterial SSU rRNA". It matches the Rfam family "Archaeal small subunit ribosomal RNA", at positions 85 to 879 of the family's 1478-position model. The record is from RNAcentral. Lineage: Archaea; Thermoproteati; Thermoproteota; Thermoprotei; Acidilobales.